UACAGAGGGGGCAAGCGUUGUUCGGAAUUACUGGGCGUAAAGGGCGCGUAGGCGGCCUCCUAAGUCGAACGUGAAAUCCCCGGGCUCAACCCGGGAACUGCGUCCGAUACUGGAAGGCUUGAAUCCGGGAGAGGGAUGCGGAAUUCCAGGUGUAGCGGUGAAAUGCGUAGAUAUCAGGAGGAACACCGAUGGCGAAGGCAGGUCUCUGGGCUGACACUGACGCUCAUGCACGAAAGCGUGGGGAGCAGACAGG
This 253-nucleotide ribosomal RNA is filed under the name uncultured bacterium. RNAcentral's name for it is "partial 16S ribosomal RNA". It matches the Rfam family "Bacterial small subunit ribosomal RNA", at positions 524 to 776 of the family's 1533-position model. The record is from RNAcentral.